UACAGAGGUGGCAAGCGUUGUUCGGAAUUACUGGGCGUAAAGGGCGCGUAGGCGGCCUUCUAAGUCAGACGUGAAAUCCCCCGGCUUAACCUGGGAACUGCGUCUGAUACUGGGAGGCUUGAGUAUGGGGAGAGGGAUGUAGAAUUCCAGGUGUAGCGGUGAAAUGCGUAGAUAUCUGGAGGAAUACCGGUGGCGAAGGCGGCAUCCUGGACCAUAAACUGACGCUGAGGCGCGAA
This 236-nucleotide ribosomal RNA is filed under the name uncultured bacterium. Its description in RNAcentral is "partial 16S ribosomal RNA". It matches the Rfam family "Bacterial small subunit ribosomal RNA", at positions 524 to 757 of the family's 1533-position model. The record is from RNAcentral.